AGCGAACGCUGGCGGCAGGCCUAACACAUGCAAGUCGAACGAACCUUUCGGGGUUAGUGGCGGACGGGUGAGUAACACGUGGGAACGUGCCUUUAGGUUCGGAAUAACUCAUGGAAACUUGUGCUAAUACCGAAUGUGCCCUUCGGGGGAAAGAUUUAUCGCCUUUAGAGCGGCCCGCGUCUGAUUAGCUAGUUGGUUGAGGUAAUGGCUCACCAAGGCGACGAUCAGUAGCUGGUCUGAGAGGAUGAUCAGCCACAUUGGGACUGAGACACGGCCCAAACUCCUACGGGAGGCAGCAGUGGGGAAUCUUGCGCAAUGGGCGAAAGCCUGAAGCAGCCAUGCCGCGUGAAUGAUGAAGGUCUUAGGAUUGUAAAAUUCUUUCACCGGGGACGAUAAUGACGGUACCCGGAGAAGAAGCCCCGGCUAACUUCGUG
RNAcentral lists this ribosomal RNA (434 nucleotides) under uncultured bacterium. Its description in RNAcentral is "partial 16S ribosomal RNA". It matches the Rfam family "Bacterial small subunit ribosomal RNA", at positions 29 to 507 of the family's 1533-position model. The record is from RNAcentral.